AUGCAAUUUUAUAAAACGUGGACACGAGCAUGUUAUGAAGCAUUUGUUACCGUGGUGGAACGAAAAAGGGUGCCACGGCAACGAAACCGAAAAUGGUGCCACGGCAACAUAUCGGUUCUGGUAGCUCACGGAGAUACCGGCGCAAGGAGAAUUGUGCGGAUGUGUGAAACACGCAAGAGAAUGGUGGGGUGCUCCCGGAUUCCGGGCUCCCACGCUACGAUGGCAUGGCAACAAGGAGGAACAUGGAAUGACAACUCGGAAACGGUGCAACCACGAGCAUCUCAUACAACACACAUGCAUUCGUUCACGGGCGUCGUCUUGGGGUUAUACCUUUGA
RNAcentral lists this ribosomal RNA (336 nucleotides) under Triticum aestivum (bread wheat). RNAcentral describes it as "partial small subunit ribosomal RNA". The record is from RNAcentral. Lineage: Eukaryota; Viridiplantae; Streptophyta; Magnoliopsida; Poales; Poaceae.